GAUGAACGCUGGCGGCGUGCCUAAUACAUGCAAGUCGAGCGAACAGACGAGGAGCUUGCUCCUCUGACGUUAGCGGCGGAAGGGUGAGUAACACGUGGAUAACCUACCUAUAAGACUGGGAUAACUUCGGGAAACCGGAGCUAAUACCGGAUAAUAUAUUGAACCGCAUGGUUCAAUAGUGAAAGACGGUUUUGCUGUCACUUAUAGAUGGAUCCGCGCCGCAUUAGCUAGUUGGUAAGGUAACGGCUUACCAAGGCAACGAUGCGUAGCCGACCUGAUAGGCUGAUCUGCCACACUGGAACUUAUACACGGUCCAGACUCCUACGGUAGGCAGCAGUAGGGAAUCUUCCGCAAUAGGCGAAAGCCUGACGGAGCUACGCCGCGUGAGUGAUGAAGGUCUUCGGAUCGUAAAACACUGUUAUUAGGGAAGAACAAAUGUGUAUGUAACGAUGCACGUCUUGACGGUACCUAAUCAGAAAGCCACGGCUAACUACGUG
RNAcentral lists this ribosomal RNA (497 nucleotides) under uncultured bacterium. RNAcentral describes it as "partial 16S ribosomal RNA". It matches the Rfam family "Bacterial small subunit ribosomal RNA", at positions 28 to 507 of the family's 1533-position model. The record is from RNAcentral.